This 373-nucleotide ribosomal RNA is filed under the name uncultured archaeon. RNAcentral's name for it is "bacterial SSU rRNA". It matches the Rfam family "Archaeal small subunit ribosomal RNA", at positions 57 to 436 of the family's 1478-position model. The record is from RNAcentral.
GUCUUUGUAGUAAUACAAGGCAGACGGCUCAGUAACACGUAGUCAACCUACCCUAUGGACAAGAAUAAUCUCGGGAAACUGGGCAUAAUUCUUGAUAGAUCAUAAUGCCUGGAAUGGUUUAUGGUUAAAAUGAUUCGUCGCCAUAGGAUGGGACUGCGGCCUAUCAGCUUGUUGGUGAGGUAAUGGCCCACCAAGGCGAUUACAGGUACGGGCUCUGAGAGGAGAAGCCCGGAGAUGGGUACUGAGACACGGACCCAGGCCCUAUGGGGCGCAGCAGGCGAGAAAACUUUGCAAUGUGCGGAAGCACGACAAGGUUAAUCCGAGUGACUUCUGCUAAAGAAAUCUUUUGCCAGUCAUAAAACCACUGGUGAAU